UCACUUUCAACAACGGAUCUCUUGGCUCUCGCAUCGAUGAAGAACGUAGCGAAGUGCGAUAAGUAGUGUGAAUUGCAGAAUUCCGUGAAUCAUCGAAUCUUUGAACGCAAAUUGCACUCUCUGGCAACCCGGGGAGUAUGCCUGUUUGAGGGUCAGU
This 157-nucleotide ribosomal RNA is filed under the name Rhizophagus intraradices. RNAcentral's name for it is "5.8S ribosomal RNA". It matches the Rfam family "5.8S ribosomal RNA". From Rfam's summary of the family: 5.8S ribosomal RNA (5.8S rRNA) is a component of the large subunit of the eukaryotic ribosome. It is transcribed by RNA polymerase I as part of the 45S precursor that also contains 18S and 28S rRNA. The record is from RNAcentral. Lineage: Eukaryota; Fungi; Glomeromycota; Glomeromycetes; Glomerales; Glomeraceae. RNAcentral also lists the same sequence under 1 other name.